RNAcentral lists this long non-coding RNA (285 nucleotides) under Pan troglodytes (chimpanzee). RNAcentral describes it as "long non-coding RNA NONPTRT014112". The record is from RNAcentral. Lineage: Eukaryota; Metazoa; Chordata; Mammalia; Primates; Hominidae.
GGCUAGCCAUAUGUAGAAAGCUAAAACUGGAUCCUUUCCUUACACCUUAUACAAAAAUUAAUUCAAGAUGGAUUAAAGACUUAAAUAUUAGACCUAAAAACCAUAAAAACCCUAGAAGAAAACCUAGGCAAUACCAUUCAGGACACAAGCAUGGGCAAUGACUUCAUGACUAAAACACCAAAAGCAAUGGCAACAGAAGCCAAAAUUGACAAAUGGGAUCUAAUUAAACUAAAGAGCUUCUGCACGCAAAAGAAACCACCAUCAGAGUGAAGAGGCAACCUACAG